This 1128-nucleotide long non-coding RNA is filed under the name Astyanax mexicanus (Mexican tetra). RNAcentral's name for it is "lncRNA (ENSAMXG00005005810.1)". Lineage: Eukaryota; Metazoa; Chordata; Actinopteri; Characiformes; Acestrorhamphidae. The record is from RNAcentral.
AUGACUAUUAAUUUGGAAGAUGAAUGGCGGGAAGUUUGGAUCCAUCAUGAAGCUCAAGGGGCACGCCCUCAAACCCGGAGCCUGCAUCUUGUAGCAACUGCUGGUGACUUUGAGCUCCGGUUUCCACGCUUCAUGUCUCGAAUAGAGAUGGACCAAAUUCUAUUCACAGCAAUACAGAGCAUGAAAGUCCUCUUAUCAGAGCCACAUUUGGAUGCACUACAUUUUCAGUUUGAUACCAUGCUCACCAGGUUCAAGAGGGCAAUAAAAACAUUGCUGCCCAAAGUUCGUUCAUACAGAAAAAAUGGGCCUGAAGAUGAUAACUAUGCCAAUUUUCAUAAUAUAUUUCUAUGGAGGGCAGAUGGCUGGCAAUGUACCUUUGACGCUGCAGGUGAUCAAAAAUCAAUAUCAUGGACUCCCAUUUACAAAUCACCUGUCGCAUCUGAAGACUCCAGUUCAUUUGAAGAUGACAGACCUGGACCUUCGGGACUGUCCAGAGUUCAUAAAGAGAUCCAGGUGAGUAAGAGAACAGAUACUAGUCAUGAAUAUGACAUAUCAGGCUUCAGCUCAUCUGAUGACGGCAGACCUGGACCUUCUGGACUGUCCAGAGCUCAGCAGAUGCAGUUGAUGAAGAGGAAGAGAACAGACUCUGGUCCAGAAACUAAUAGAUUAGACUCCAGCUCAUCUGAUGACGACAGACCUGGACCUUCUGGACAGUCCAGAGUUCAUCAAAUGCAGUUGAGGAAAAGGAGGAGAACAGACUCUGGUCCAGAAACUAACAGAUUAGACUCCAGCUCAUCUGAUGACGACAGACCUGGACCUUCUGGACAGUCCAGAGUUCAGAUGCAGACCAAUAAAACAAGUCAGAGCCUGCCGAGUAAAUCAAGCAACAGGAGAAGGUUUCGAAGAAGAGGAACACAAACAAAUCGUGAUACUUCUGCUCAACCGCUUUAUUCGACUGGGCAUUUUAUGCCACACUGGGUGCCACCAAAUAUGGUCUUUUUGAUAGAUGAACAAGGAGACUGUGAUUAUGUAGGAUUUUAUUAUGUACUCAACAUACAGCCUGCGGAAUCAUCAGAGUCCAGCUCAUUAGACUUACGCUCAUCAGACUCCAGCUCAGAAGACAUUUAA